UACGUAGGGGGCAAGCGUUGUCCGGAAUCAUUGGGCGUAAAGCGCGUGUAGGCGGCCCGAUAAGUCCGCUGUGAAAGUCCAGGGCUCAACCCUGGAAUGCCGGUGGAUACUGUCGGGCUCGAGUCCGGAAGAGGCGAGUGGAAUUCCUGGUGUAGCGGUGGAAUGCGCAGAUAUCAGGAGGAACACCGAUGGCGAAGGCAGCUCGCUGGGACGGUACUGACGCUGAGGCGCGAAAGCGUGGGGAGCGAACAGG
Molecule: ribosomal RNA, 253 nt
Filed under: uncultured bacterium
Lineage: Bacteria
Description: partial 16S ribosomal RNA
Rfam family: Bacterial small subunit ribosomal RNA
Source: RNAcentral